Molecule: ribosomal RNA, 900 nt
Filed under: uncultured bacterium
Lineage: Bacteria
Description: bacterial SSU rRNA
Rfam family: Bacterial small subunit ribosomal RNA
Source: RNAcentral
ACGCUAGCGAUAGGCUUAACACAUGCAAGUCGAGGGGCAGCGAGAUGUAGCAAUACGUCGUCGGCGACCGGCGAAUGGGUGAGUAACACAUAUGCAACUUACCUCUUAGUGGUGAAUAACUCGAUGAAAGUCGGACUAAUACACCAUACUCUCCUUAGAUCACAUGAGAAGAGGAGGAAAGAUUAAUCGCUAAGAGAUAGGCCUGCGUUCCAUUAGCUAGUUGGUAAGGUAACGGCUUACCAAGGCAACGAUGGAUAGGGGGACUGAGAGGUUGACCCCCCACAUUGACACUGAGAUACGGGUCAAACUCCUACGGGAGGCAGCAGUGAGGAAUAUUGGUCAAUGGGCGAGAGCCUGAACCAGCCAAGUCGCGUGAAGGAAGACUGCCCGCAAGGGUUGUAAACUUCUUUUGUAUGGGAUUAAAGUCGUCUACGUGUAGACGUUUGCAGUUACCAUACGAAUAAGCAUCGGCUAACUCCGUGCCAGCAGCCGCGGUAAUACGGAGGAUGCGAGCGUUAUCCGGAAUUAUUGGGUUUAAAGGGUGCGUAGGUUGCAAGGGAAGUCAGGGGUGAAAAGCUAUAGCUCAACUAUGGUCUUGCCUUUGAAACUCUCUAGCUAGAGUGUACUGGAGGUACGUGGAACGUGUGGUGUAGCGGUGAAAUGCAUAGAUAUCACACAGAACUCCGAUUGCGCAGGCAGCGUACUACAUUACAACUGACACUGAAGCACGAAAGCGUGGGUAUCAAACAGGACUAGAUACCCUGGUAGUCCACGCAGUAAACGAUGAAUACUAGAUCUAUGCGAUAUACAGUAUGGGUCUAAGCGAAAGCGAUAAGUAUUCCACCUGGGGAGUACGCCGGCAACGGUGAAACUCAAAGAGAUUGGCGGGGGUCCGCACAA